GAGGGUAUAGCUCAGUGGUAGAGAGCUUGCUUAGCAUGCAUGAGGUCCUGGGUUCAAUCCUCAGUACCUCCA
This 72-nucleotide transfer RNA is filed under the name Camelus bactrianus (Bactrian camel). It matches the Rfam family "tRNA". From Rfam's summary of the family: Transfer RNA (tRNA) molecules are approximately 80 nucleotides in length. Their secondary structure includes four short double-helical elements and three loops (D, anti-codon, and T loops). RNAcentral also lists the same sequence under 1 other name. Lineage: Eukaryota; Metazoa; Chordata; Mammalia; Artiodactyla; Camelidae. The record is from Rfam by way of RNAcentral.